This 519-nucleotide ribosomal RNA is filed under the name uncultured Bacteroidota bacterium. RNAcentral's name for it is "bacterial SSU rRNA". It matches the Rfam family "Bacterial small subunit ribosomal RNA", at positions 889 to 1410 of the family's 1533-position model. The record is from RNAcentral. Lineage: Bacteria; Pseudomonadati; Bacteroidota.
CAAGGCUGAAACUCAAAGGAAUUGACGGGGGCCCGCACAAGCGGAGGAACAUGUGGUUUAAUUCGAUGAUACGCGAGGAACCUUACCCGGGCUUGAAAGUUACUGACUAAUCUGGAAACAGGUUAUCCCUUCGGGGCAGGAAACUAGGUGCUGCAUGGUUGUCGUCAGCUCGUGCCGUGAGGUGUCGGGUUAAGUCCCAUAACGAGCGCAACCCUUGCUGUUAGUUGCCAUCAGGUUAAGCUGGGCACUCUAAUGGGACUGCCGGUGCAAGCCGGAGGAAGGUGGGGAUGACGUCAAAUCAGCACGGCCCUUACGUCCGGGGCUACACACGUGUUACAAUGGUAGGUACAGAGGGCAGCUAGCCAGUGAUGGCAUGCGAAUCUCGAAAGCCUAUCUCAGUUCGGAUUGGAGGCUGAAACCCGCCUCCAUGAAGUUGGAUUCGCUAGUAAUCGCGCAUCAGCCAUGGCGCGGUGAAUACGUUCCCGGGCCUUGUACACACCGCCCGUCAAGCCAUGGGAG